AACGAACGCUGGCGGCAUGCCUAACACAUGCAAGUCGAACGAGACCUUCUGGUUGAGCCACGCACAGGUUCGUAACGGGGGGGAACCUGCGUAUAGGUUCGGAAUAACGGACCGGAAGGGGUGCGAAUACCGGAUAAUGACAUCGGAUCAAGGAUUUAGCGACCUUGGAUUGGUCCGCGUUGGAUUAGCUAGUUGGUAGGCUAACAUCCUAUCAAGGCGACGAUGCAUAGCUGGGAUGGGAGGAUGAGCAGCAAGACUGGGACUGUGACACGGCCCAGCCUCCGACGGGCAGCAGCAGUGAAGAAUAUAGGACGAGGGGCGCAAGCCUGCACCAGCACUGCCGCGUGAAAGAUGAAGGCCUUAGGGUUGUGAAGCUCCAUUACCCGAGAUGAAAAUGACAGUACCGGGAGAAUAAGCGCCGGCUAACUCCGUG
RNAcentral lists this ribosomal RNA (433 nucleotides) under uncultured bacterium. Its description in RNAcentral is "partial 16S ribosomal RNA". It matches the Rfam family "Bacterial small subunit ribosomal RNA", at positions 29 to 507 of the family's 1533-position model. The record is from RNAcentral.